UCUAUAGACCACAUUAUAACACUUUUGUAUAAUGAGUAAACAAACUAGCAAAGCUUCAUGGGAUAUAAGAACCACAAAGGUUUUUAUUGACCUGUGCA
This is a long non-coding RNA of Neltuma alba, 98 nucleotides long. RefSeq lists it as uncharacterized. The record is from RefSeq and is a predicted model, not a curated record. The transcript is spliced from 3 exons. NCBI's taxonomy places the organism in Eukaryota, Viridiplantae, Streptophyta, Magnoliopsida, Fabales, Fabaceae.